RNAcentral lists this long non-coding RNA (834 nucleotides) under Piliocolobus tephrosceles (Ugandan red Colobus). RNAcentral describes it as "lncRNA (ENSPTEG00000002238.1)". The record is from RNAcentral. Lineage: Eukaryota; Metazoa; Chordata; Mammalia; Primates; Cercopithecidae.
UAAGAAAUAAAAAAAAAAAAAAAAUGGAUGACACAAACGAAAGUAUUUCAAAUGAUAAAGGGCUAAAUAUGAAGAUUAUCCAGUUUAUAUUAAAAAAGUCAGAAGAGUUAGAGAAAGAACAUUUGUUAGUUUCAUUUCUAUGCACACUCUACAUUGUCGAGCAGUUAAGCGAGUAUAUGAAAAAGAGCAAGGUAGAUACAGAGACGAAACAAAUUUUAAUAAAAUGUUUAGAUAAAGCGGAGAAAACUAGACCUUUAUUUGAUAAGCUGGAUUAUAAUAAGUUAGCUGUUUUUUGCGAAGGCCUAUUUGCAGCAGCUGAUAAAAAUGAUCGCACCAAUAAAAUAGAUAAAAGAACAUUAAGGAUGUUUUUUUCAUGUAAAAUUUUUUAUGAAAUAUUAAAUCAUUUUAGAACAUUAAAUGAAGAAGAAAAAAAAAAAUUGAUAUAUGCGAAAUAUAAAACUGUAUAUAUUCAAAAGUGUUUUGAAAAUAAUAUAGAGCCAAAGCCAGGUUCUCCAGUACGAGAAACAAAAGAAAAGUCCAGUUCAGAUUCAGAAAAAAAUAGAUAAAUCAAAUGUUAAUGAAAUAGAAAUGCCAAGGAUAUACGAUAAUAUUUGGAAUGAUGAUUAUAACACAUAUAAAAUCGAACAAAAUAAUUUUACAAAGGACCAAUAUGAAAUUACACCAAGUUAAAACAAUAUAUGUGUAUAUAUCUAUAUAUAUGUGUAAAUGUACUUAUACGUGUAUACACAUAUGUUCGUUUUUUUUUUUUUUUUUUUUUUUAUUGUCUUAACAGGUAGUAAUAAAAUUAGUGACAAACAAAUAGAUUUUACGUUA